Molecule: long non-coding RNA, 214 nt
Filed under: Elaeis guineensis (African oil palm)
Lineage: Eukaryota; Viridiplantae; Streptophyta; Magnoliopsida; Arecales; Arecaceae
Description: long non-coding RNA (EGUI_LNC049079)
Source: RNAcentral
UCUCAUAGUAAAGUUACAUGCCCCAUGGAGGUAAGCCUUGAGCUGAUCCACGUUAUUUGAUUGUAUCUUUUAUGCAUCUCUAUUCUUUGUUUCUUUUGCAGUAUUGACAUCAUCAUCGAUGUUACGAUCUUGGAUGGAGAUCCAUAUUCUGCAAUCUUAAGGGAUCUUUUUUGACAAGUGGUAUUAGAGUAUGGGAUUGUUCGGAUUGUAGCGA